CCCGGGACUCAUCGCCAUGACGUCACGAUUAACGCCCACAGCGCGUGCCAUAUAUAAGCUUCAGCAUUUCGACGUGGAGCAAAACACGCUCGAACCAGAUCGACAUCAAAAGCGUUCUUCGUAAUAGCGCAAACAUGAGGGGAUUUGCUUUCGUUGCACUCAUCAUUGUGGCUGCGGGGUGCUUGGUGAGUGACGUCAUGGCCCAGUCCACAAUCAGCUGCUCCGCCUCUUUCCAGGCGAAACGUGCAUUUUAUCGGCAGUGCAGAUCUGAAGGAAAACGGAUUUUCUAUGCCGGAGAUGGAAUGACAGCGACCUGCUUCUUGGUGUGCAGAAACUAAUAGCCCUAUCAGGACUUCUCGUAGAUGUCAUCAUCGGAGAGUGGUCUCACCUUGAAGUCAUGAUUAUUCAGAAUAUUCAGGUCAAUAAAUACUGCACAGCUUA
Long non-coding RNA from Haliotis rubra (blacklip abalone), 441 nucleotides. RefSeq lists it as uncharacterized. Lineage: Eukaryota; Metazoa; Mollusca; Gastropoda; Lepetellida; Haliotidae. The record is from RefSeq and is a predicted model, not a curated record. The transcript has 2 exons.